This 478-nucleotide ribosomal RNA is filed under the name uncultured bacterium. RNAcentral describes it as "bacterial SSU rRNA". It matches the Rfam family "Bacterial small subunit ribosomal RNA", at positions 30 to 500 of the family's 1533-position model. The record is from RNAcentral.
AUUGAACGCUGGCGGCAUGCCUUACACAUGCAAGUCGAACGGCAGCACGGGGGGUAACCCCUGGUGGCGAGUGGCGAACGGGUGAGUAAUAUAUCGGAACGUGCCCUGUAGCGGGGGAUAACCUAUCGAAAGAUGGACUAAUACCGCAUACGCUCUACGGAGGAAAGCGGGGGUCGCAAGACCUCGCACUAUAGGAGCGGCCGAUAUCGGAUUAGCUAGUUGGCGGGGUAAAAGCCCACCAAGGCGACGAUCCGUAGCUGGUCUGAGAGGAUGAUCAGCCACACUGGAACUGAGACACGGUCCAGACUCCUACGGGAGGCAGCAGUGGGGAAUUUUGGACAAUGGGCGCAAGCCUGAUCCAGCCAUGCCGCGUGAGUGAAGAAGGCCUUCGGGUUGUAAAGCUCUUUCGGCAGGAACGAAAUGGUUCGUGCUAAUACCACGGAUUGAUGACGGUACCUGAAGAAGAAGCACCGGCUAA